AGUCGCAUGUGUUAAAGUGCUUCACCAUAUGCUUGAAGCUAUCGCAUGGUGCGUGCUUUACUCUUGGCAUUGUUUUACACUGUAAACGGUUGUCAAUAGUAAAGUGAAAGUAAACGAGAACUAUUUGUUCAUGAAAUCACUGCUGCGUCAUGCAAUUAUUACCUACAGAGAGCAGAUUAUAGUAAAGAUUAAGCAGAAGCUCUAGGGAGGGCAAAAUACUACGACAUCUUCAAGUGCACCAAUCAUAUUACAAGUUCCUCAAACCAUAAACACUUACUUUCCGGUUCUGCAGUCAGUAUGAGUCUCGUCUGUCUGGAUGGAAGCAGAGAGGAGAGGGAUAAAGUGUUGCGUUGUGGGCGAAUUAAGCAAUCGAAUGCAAAGGAAUUUCUUUCUGAACCUGGACCUCUUUAACUAUGUACACUUGGCGGUGCUUCCUCGCCAUUGUACUUGUACUUGUACUUGUUUGGUACUUCUCAGAGUUUGGACAAAUAUGGACACAAGCUUUCGUUUGUUUUUUAUGCUUUUUCAAUUUCCCUUUCAAAAAGCAAGACCGUGAAACAAGCACUCAGACGGAUGACACACUUGAAGAAACAGAACAACAGACAAAGAAAGCUCACCAUGUUGGUGUCAGUGAUGAGACUGAUGCAGCCGCACAAACUGAGUCCAAAACAAAGCAUUAUCCAAAUGUACAGAGGUCACUCCUCCAGGUGUUUAAAUGUGCCUAUGCUCACCUGGUCCAGCCGUGGUACACAGUCCCAGAACUUGGCGACAGUCAGCCCCUUCAUAGGGCACUACAGACGGAGUUUAACCUGGUAGUCGAGAGAGUCAUUUGCAAGGCAAAGAACUUUGAUCUGUCUGCUACCAGUGUGGGUUGUGUUAGGAUCUUCACUCAGCACCUGCAUAACGCAAAGCAGUCAGAUGGCUCUCCAGUGUUCGGUUCAAGGUCUGAGGAGAUGGCAGUCCUCAGGAUCUUUUCUGAAGCUCUAGUGCGAAACCUUUUUCCUGAGUACCUUUGGAAAGCAAAACUCUACCAGUGUGUCCUAACUGAGAUUGUUGCUACAAAAGCUCUUGAUGUGCUCGUGACAUGCCUCUGUAAUCCAGACAACCUGAAUCAGAUGGUUGUUUUGCAGCUGGAUAGAGUAACCUCUAAAAGCUCAACAGGAGACCUGCUAAACUCAGAUAGGGAAGGCACACCAUCUUCCAUGGGAAGUGAAGAAGCAGAAGUAUUGACAGAUGAAGCAGAGGAUGGUCGGUCUGAAGACACAAAAGAAAAGAAGAAGGGCAAUGGGAUCAAAGAACGAUUUUCUAAAUUUGUUGAUAAGGUCAAGUCAAAGAAAGCCAAAAAGAAAAACCAUAAGAAGAAGAAGGAGCAAGAGCUUUUACAGAGGGCUUUAUCAGCACGAAGAUCUGCUGUUAUUGAAGAUGAUUGUGCAAGCAGCAGAGAGGGCUCCUUUAGAAGCGGCAUGGACUAUGGCAUGGAUUAUGACAGUGAAACGGAUGUUUACCUAACAACAAAUGUCCAAGAGGAUAUGAUGGAGUUUAGGCUUUCCUAUGAGAUGUGGCGGGUGGGGAAGUGGGCAGUCCAUGUUACAAAUGUUCAAAAGGAAAAUGAAGAGCUGUGUUUCACGCUUCACCUGGAGGAGAAAAAUAACCCUGAGAAUCUCAACUGGGAUGUAAAAAAGACCCAAUCAGAAAUACUUAAUUUUCACAGCCUCUGGCAGGAUACUUCCACUUUACCCACUAUAUCUGCGAUAGUAGAGAAAACAAAGCAGGAUCUUGAUGGUGCGUAUGCAGAAGAAGUUGGAUCAGCCUUGGAGCACUUUUUACAAGAGCUGGUUUCUGAUGCACAGCUUGGUCACACUCAGCCUGUAUUCCAGUUCUUGUGUCCCAUUGUACAGCUGCUGAGUAAUAAGGAACAUAAGGGAGGUGUCUGGAGUUUUCUGAAUGGACUUGCAAGCUUUCUUAAUCCUGGCCAAGAUGAGGAUGAGUCCCAUAAUCCCAGAAGAGAAGAAAAGCUUGAUGGAGCAGGAGCCUCAGUUCAUAACAGUGGACAGUCGACAGCACAGCCAGCCUGCAUCGACACGGAUGAAGAGCCAAAGGGGGGCAUUGUAGAAGGACCAAACGAAGAAACUGACACCUUCAAAAGUAGAGAACCAGAUAUGGAAGAUCAGACCUCUGAUGAGCAGGAUGUGGUUUCAGAUGGACAAGAGAGUCUUGCUGAAAGUUUAGAUAUCUUUGUUAAUAGGUCAAAAUUAGUCAGUCCUUCAGGACACUCCAGUGAUCUCUUAAGCUCAGUCAUGAACCAUACUGAAGGUUUACAGUCUGACUCAGUCGAUGGCUUUACAAGUGCUCAGUCUGGGGGCAAAACAAACAAAAAAGAAAAGUUAACUCAAAAAAAGUUACAUGGACCUCAAAAGAUCAAAGUAAAAGAGAAAACGGGACAGCUCAAGGACGAGAUGGCAAAUCAGCCUCAGGCACAGAAAAAGGAACCCCAGAACAACUGGGACCAAGUUGAGGCCACCAAAGCCAUAUUUGAGUUAGUUAAGGAAAUAACGGGUAACUCGGUCUUCAUUAACAUUUUUGAUGCCAUUCUAAAAGCAGUCCAGCCUUUGGUAAAGAAGAAAAUAAACAACUUUUUAAAAAAGAUGCAUCCCACUGAAGCUCAGAUUGCGUCCUACAUUGACAAUUUCCGGGAGAAGAUGUGGCCAGAAGGAAACGCGCCCAUCCAGCCGCCACAUGACAGUGAGGAGAAACACGAGACCAAGGAGAAGGCUUUGCAGCUUAUAAAUUCAAAAUAUUCAAACUCUCUAAUUCUCAAGAAGACUGAUGUUGAAACUGUGUUCAAGAUCUUCCAGGACACUGAGGAGAACAAGAAACUGGUUUAUAUGCUGCUGUCAUACAUUCUUGGGGAGUUCCUACCUGGUGAGCCUGCCUUCAGUGCAAUAGCUAAUCUAACUGUGAAGGAUUUUGUUUCAUAAUUGAUAGAUCUUUUUUUAUGUAAUUUGUCUAAUGUUUUAAAAUGUGCAUUAUUUAAUAUUUUAUGUGUAUGUUCUUCAAGGAUGCAUUGUGAUAUACCUCAGAGAGGCCAGCCUUUUACUUUCACUUUGAGCAAUAUGAACACUUAAGAUUUCUUGAUAAUUUUUUUUAAUUGAACAAAAAUGCCAGCCUCUGUUAAAUGUAGCAUUUUAACAAAUGUACUGUAAUUAUGUUUCACUUCAAUAAUGUCACCAAUACUUUGGUGUACAUUUUUUAACUCACAUUAAAAAAAAUUAUCACUGUAUGUGUAAAUUCACUUUUUGUUUCGUACCUUAAAAAUGUACACUGUGAAGAACUGAUUUUCUAUUUUAAUAAACAGCACAUGUUACUCA
This 3368-nucleotide long non-coding RNA is filed under the name Sinocyclocheilus grahami. RNAcentral describes it as "lncRNA (ENSSGRG00000054452.1)". Lineage: Eukaryota; Metazoa; Chordata; Actinopteri; Cypriniformes; Cyprinidae. The record is from RNAcentral.